AUUAACAAAAGGAAGCUGCAUUUCGGUGGUGUGAUUUCUCUCAGCUGCACAGUUUGGCUCCUAACCAAAAGCUUCAGCCUGAUGCAAAGAUAAAGAGGUUUCAGACAACGGUUAUUGCAGUUGGAUGGCAUUUCAAGAACUGAUCUCUAUCAGACGCCUAUGAUGCACUUGAGAAGCCAUCCGUUGUGCUUCCUUGCAUCUCAGAAGUCAGCAAACCUGCACAGUUCGGUCCUGCCUGCUAGCCCUGACUACAUAUGCACAGCAUGGCAAUUAUGGCAGGAGGAAGCCUGAAAUAAUUGCGUGUUUGGAGCAUGAGGUUCAUCUCUAGCCAGACCUCAGACUGUGCUUUCCACAACAUUAAGAUUGCUGAAGGACUCUUAUAUAAGCCUAAUUGACACAAUUAAAAGAAUGAUUCCU
This is a long non-coding RNA of Gallus gallus (chicken), 417 nucleotides long. Lineage: Eukaryota; Metazoa; Chordata; Aves; Galliformes; Phasianidae. The record is from Ensembl.